Ochotona princeps (American pika) is the source of this 485-nucleotide long non-coding RNA. RefSeq lists it as uncharacterized. Lineage: Eukaryota; Metazoa; Chordata; Mammalia; Lagomorpha; Ochotonidae. The transcript has 3 exons. The record is from RefSeq and is a predicted model, not a curated record.
AGCUCCCAGGGCCGAGGAGGGAGGCUGAGCCGCCCACGGGACUGUGACUGCUGUGGUCCCGCAGGAGCGCAGGCCUCGGAGCUGUCUCUCCCCGGGCUAGGCAGACUCCGGCCUCCGGAACAGGACUGAAAGGACAGGCCAGAAAACAAAUCCACAGCCCCAUCAAGAAACACUGAGUUUCUCAACUGGCAGUCCUGCACUACCUGAAUUCAUCUGCCCUGAUGUUUUUGGUGAUCCUCCAGUAACCCAAGCCAUGUCUGCUACAACCACAACAGGAAUGUGAGUCAUUCAAACAUGAAAGAGUCUAUCCACAGAAGAUCACUCCCAGAAGCUUGUGAUAUAAUGAAAAGGCCGCUCCUGAAAUCAGCCUGUCACCUUCCAUUUGGAAGUUUUCAGAGUUCAAACCUACUCCAUGGAGUUCUGCUGAAGGUCAGACACCAUUUGCUCCUGUCUACCACACCAAGCUACCAAUUGCUUCACGUCAG